UAGUAAACUAACCUACCCCAGUAUGGUAAACAAACCUACCCCUAUUGAUUGUCGGACAACAAAAAGAUUCUUCUCUUCAUGGGUGUGAUCAACUGGUCUAGUAGGUCCGGGCAUCGACUGGUCUCGGGGCCAGGUGCUUUGUCUCGCAUUCAUAGCAGUACCAUCCCAUAUGUAUUGGAUUGAGCUCGAACAUAGGAAGCAAAGUGGCUGGGGGCGUGAAUGAGAAACAACCUCGACAUAGGAGAAUUUCGCUCGAACAUGGGAUGGGAAUCGAUAUACAGAAUUGAGCUCGAACAUAGGAAGCAAAGCAGAGCAGUAAGGAGUGAGUUUAGGGUAGGGUUUCGUUUACUAAAUGACAUAGGUGCGUCGUGCAUAUUCUAUUCCAUUUCUUUCUUUAGAGUCAGCAGUCAGAGGUGUCAGGUUACAUCUUAUUAUAUACAAUAGUGAUUCUCUAUAUUCCUUCUUCAUUAUCUAGAUUCCUUCUUAUAGACUAUAGUAAUAAUUAUCUAGAUUCAAUGAUGGAAUUCAAAGAACAUCGAUUCGGCAACCUUGUUUUCAAGUAAAAGGGAAGAAGCGAGGGUUCGGCUACCUACCCAGUGUUGGGUUCCCUUACCGUCCCGUUAGCGCAUAAAAGAAUUUCUUUACUUGACUCUCUAUCUCGUAUUAACCUAGCUGUCAAUAAAGUUGGGUCAGAAAUGAAGUA
RNAcentral lists this long non-coding RNA (703 nucleotides) under Musa acuminata (dwarf banana). Its description in RNAcentral is "long non-coding RNA (MACU_LNC008303)". The record is from RNAcentral. Lineage: Eukaryota; Viridiplantae; Streptophyta; Magnoliopsida; Zingiberales; Musaceae.